Molecule: ribosomal RNA, 293 nt
Filed under: uncultured microorganism
Description: partial 16S ribosomal RNA
Rfam family: Bacterial small subunit ribosomal RNA
Source: RNAcentral
GUGCCAGCAGCCGCGGUAAUACGGAGGGUGCAAGCGUUAAUCGGAAUUACUGGGCGUAAAGCGCACGCAGGCGGUUGGAUAAGUUAGAUGUGAAAGCCCCGGGCUCAACCUGGGAAUUGCAUUUAAAACUGUCCAGCUAGAGUCUUGUAGAGGGGGGUAGAAUUCCAGGUGUAGCGGUGAAAUGCGUAGAGAUCUGGAGGAAUACCGGUGGCGAAGGCGGCCCCCUGGACAAAGACUGACGCUCAGGUGCGAAAGCGUGGGGGAGCAAACAGGAUUAGAUACCCUGGUAGUCC